UGUAUGUAAUGUAUUUGAAUUCAGAGUAAAAAAGCCGUUGCAUGAAGUUUCAUCCUCCUGAAUACUCUCGUUUUCUCCUGCAAAUUUACAGUAUGGGCAUCCUUUUUUAACAUCUUUCGUCAAAGAAGUGGAUUCAAAGCACACUGUGACCUCAGUAUAUUGAUGUGAAACCAUGCAGAAAAUGCUACUUUCUCUCAACCUUGUGGAUGUUCCCUACUUCCCUAAGGAUCAGCAGCCUCUUGAAACAGUUGAACUUGAAGCCAUUAUCGAAUUCCUUGCGUCUAUGUUCCCUGGAUCUGAAAACAAAGCAUAAUGCCAGAGAUUCCACCCAAAAGCUAACCCAUGAGUCCAAGCUGAAGAGGAAUAUUUCCAAAUCGAUGGCUCCACUAAUCCGAUUGAAUUCCUUGCGUCUAUGUUCCCUGGAUCUGAAAGCAGUGCAUAAUGCCAGAGAUUCCACCCAAAAGCUAACCCAUGAGUCCAAGCUGAAGAGGAAUAUUUCCAAAAUUACAUGUAGAUCUACACUCACCCGAUAGUUAAACUGCUAGAAAAAAGGUUUUUUUUUCACUUCAUUAUAAUUUAUAGAGAGAGAUUGGGGGAGGGGGAGAGGUAGGGUGUAGCCACAAACCUGAAUGGCUAAGCUGUGGAACUGAAAUUCCCAUUCAUGUCACUUACAAUUUUAAUGAAUUACAGGGUGUACGAACUGACAUAAUAACAGUUUGAGUAAAA
Molecule: long non-coding RNA, 726 nt
Organism: Strongylocentrotus purpuratus (purple sea urchin)
Lineage: Eukaryota; Metazoa; Echinodermata; Echinoidea; Camarodonta; Strongylocentrotidae
Exons: 4
Source: RefSeq, a predicted model, not a curated record